Hippocampus comes (tiger tail seahorse) is the source of this 648-nucleotide long non-coding RNA. RefSeq lists it as uncharacterized. The record is from RefSeq and is a predicted model, not a curated record. NCBI's taxonomy places the organism in Eukaryota, Metazoa, Chordata, Actinopteri, Syngnathiformes, Syngnathidae. The transcript is spliced from 3 exons.
GCGUCCUUAAUUGGUUGUGAGUUUGUGCAACAUUUCCGGGAGUGCUGUUCGUUUACUCUUCGCGAAGGGCGGAAAAAACUCAAACAGAGCUAAUACGUAGAAGCUGCAAACAUGGUCUGACUGAUUAUAAAAGCGAGCGUAUACGCCGUCAGGAAGAUCCGGGCGGCCAUUGCUAAGAGAACGCAAGUGGAAGAGCCCAUUGUGAUGCCAUGUAGUGCUAUCGCUGAAAAGAGAGCUGCGGGAGCGCUCAGAGAGCCACCGGAUGCCAUAAUGACAUCUGAAAAUGAUGAGGCCAUCAGCGGGGAAGUGGCCUCCAGAACACCUUUGACUGUGCAGAAAUAUGACUCUUGACGUUAAAACGCAAAUUACACUGGUCAUUCAUAAGUAGCCUCAAUAUGGAUGGAUGGAUGGAGUGAUGCAUAAUAAGUUGCUGCUAAAAACAAUUUUAUGCUAAUAUGGCAUAUUGUUAAGUGAAAAUUUUAUAAUGACCACACUGUGCUCCUCUUAAAACGUUUAUUUGAAUCCUGUUGUAAAAUGUUGAUAAUGUCUGCUGCAGCGUAUGAAGACUCAACUCACAAACCUCUUCAAAGAGGCUGAGCAGGUCUGAUGUGUUUUGCAAUGAUAAUAUCAAUAAAUGCUUGAAAUUAA